AACGUAGGAGCCUAGCGUUAUCCGAAUUUACUGGGCGUAAAGCGCAAGCAGGCGGCUUGGUAAGUUGGCUGUGAAAUCUCCCGGCUCAACUGGGAGGGGACGGUCAAGACUGUCAGGCUGGAGGCAGGUAGAGGGAGGUGGAAUUCCCGGUGUAGUGGUGAAAUGCGUAGAUAUCGGGAGGAACACCAGUGGCGAAAGCGGCCUCCUGGACCUGUCCUGACGCUGAGGUGCGAAAGCUAGGGGAGCGAACGGG
This 253-nucleotide ribosomal RNA is filed under the name uncultured bacterium. RNAcentral's name for it is "partial 16S ribosomal RNA". It matches the Rfam family "Bacterial small subunit ribosomal RNA", at positions 524 to 776 of the family's 1533-position model. The record is from RNAcentral.